Molecule: ribosomal RNA, 260 nt
Filed under: uncultured bacterium
Lineage: Bacteria
Description: partial 16S ribosomal RNA
Rfam family: Bacterial small subunit ribosomal RNA
Source: RNAcentral
UGGCGGACGGGUGAGUAACGCGUGGGUAACCUGCCUUAUACAGGGGGAGUAACAACCAGAAAUGGUUGCUAAUACCGCAUAAGCGCACAGGACCGCAUGGUCCGGUGUGAAAAACUCCGGUGGUAUAAGAUGGACCCGCGUUGGAUUAGCUAGUUGGCAGGGUAACGGCCUACCAAGGCGACGAUCCAUAGCCGGCCUGAGAGGGUGAACGGCCACAUUGGGACUGAGACACGGCCCAGACUCCUACGGGAGGCAGCAUG